This 250-nucleotide ribosomal RNA is filed under the name uncultured Actinomycetales bacterium. RNAcentral describes it as "partial 16S ribosomal RNA". It matches the Rfam family "Bacterial small subunit ribosomal RNA", at positions 84 to 334 of the family's 1533-position model. Lineage: Bacteria; Bacillati; Actinomycetota; Actinomycetes; Actinomycetales. The record is from RNAcentral.
GGGGUGCUCGAGUGGCGAACGGGUGAGUAACACGUGAGUAACCUGCCCUUGACUUUUGGGAUAACUUCAGGAAACUGGGGCUAAUACCGGAUAGGAGCUCCUGCUGCAUGGUGGGGGUUGGAAAGUUUCGGCGGUUGGGGAUGGACUCGCGGCUUAUCAGCUUGUUGGUGGGGUAGUGGCUUACCAAGGCUUUGACGGGUAGCCGGCCUGAGAGGGUGACCGGCCACAUUGGGACUGAGAUACGGCCCAG